This 332-nucleotide unclassified non-coding RNA is filed under the name soil metagenome. Its description in RNAcentral is "partial contains 5.8S ribosomal RNA, internal transcribed spacer 2, and large subunit ribosomal RNA". The stretch from base 1 to 120 matches the Rfam family "5.8S ribosomal RNA", at positions 35 to 154 of the family's 154-position model. The record is from RNAcentral.
GAUGAAGAACGUAGCGAAAUGCGAUAAGUAAUGUGAAUUGCAGAAUUCAGUGAAUCAUCGAAUCUUUGAACGCACAUUGCGCCCGCUAGUAUUCUGGCGGGCAUGCCUGUUCGAGCGUCAUUUCAACCAUCAAGCCCUGUUUAGGCUUGUGUUGGGGCCCUGCGGCUGCCGCAGCCCCCUAAAUGCAGUGGCGGGCUCGUUGUCACUCCGAGCGCAGUAGCGUAUCUCGCUCUGGGCGUGGCGGCGGGUGCUAGCCGUGAAACACCCACGAAGGUUGACCUCGGAUCAGGUAGGAAUACCCGCUGAACUUAAGCAUAUCAAUAAGCGGAGGA